Macadamia integrifolia is the source of this 2343-nucleotide long non-coding RNA. RefSeq lists it as uncharacterized. The transcript is spliced from 7 exons. The record is from RefSeq and is a predicted model, not a curated record. Lineage: Eukaryota; Viridiplantae; Streptophyta; Magnoliopsida; Proteales; Proteaceae.
GGGCAGGGGAGAGGGAGAGAGCGGGGCAAAGAGAAGCAGAGAGAGUGCUGUGGAGGGAGAGAAUUGCAAAGUGUGUGAGGAAAGUAGUGCGAUCGUCUCUUGGUAGGGUUUGUUCAUGCUGUUCAUGCUUCAGACCUUACUUGAAACUUGAAAUUCAUAGAAAAUGAAGGGUAGAGAGAGAGAGAGAGAGAGAGAGAGAGAGAGAGUGCUAUGGAGGGAGAGAAUUGCAGAGUGUGCGAGAGGAAAGUAGUGCGAUCGUCUCUUCUAUUUUCUCCCUUGGUAGGGUUUGUUCAUUCUGUUCAUGCUUCAGACCUUACUUGAAACUUGAAAUUAAUAGAAAAUGAAGGGUAGACACAGAGAGAGAGAGAGAGAGAGAGAGAGAGAGAGAGAACCAACGAAUUUGAAAGUCCGUUUUCGAAGACGUGAAUCAGAUUCAGUGAAGCAGUACUUGGAUGCAAGAUCUACCGAAAGCGUGGAUCGAAGUCCAGGGAGAGAGAGAGAGGAAAUCAAAGAAUUUGCAAGUCCGUUUUCGAAGAUGUGAAUCGAUUCAGUGAAACAGUAAUUGGAUACAAGGUCUACCGACGACGUGGAUCGAAGUCCUCGUCCAGGGAAUUGCUUUAUCUAGGUAAUGGAACCACAUUCUUAAUUCAUCGAAUCCAAGAAAGUAAUGCGAUCGUCGGUUUUCUUUUUGGUAUCCCUCGGGAGGUUUAGUUCAUGCUUCAGAUCUUACUUGAAACUUGAAAUUGGGUAGAGAAAGGGAGAGAGGAAAGUAAUGCGAUCGUUAGCUUUUUGUUUUUUUUGUUUUUUUUUCCUCCCUCGGUAGCCAGGGUUAGUUUAUGUUUCAGAAACUUGAAAUUCAUAGGAAUGAGUGGAUUCACAUGUCGCAUCCAACGCAGAGGAGGAACUCUUGUUACUUGAUAGGGUUUGAUCUAUUUUCUGAAGGAGAAAAGAUCCUCGAAUGGUUGGCUCACUCUUGCAUCUGUGAAAGUUGCAAUUCAGUUGAAAUGACGAGGAUUACAUGUCGCAGUGCAGGACGGAAACGGAUCGGAACGAGGUCUUGCAGGAAAUCGUUCAAGAAACUUGGGGAAACGCUUCAGCCACCGACCACCGUCCACCGUUGCUGGUCUCAGCUGAACUAGAAAAACUGUCCGAUGGAGUGAUACGAUUCAACAAUGAAUGGUGAAGGUAUACAUAGAGAUCGCAGAGAACUGGAAACCCAAGCUUGGGUUUGAUCUAUUUUUUGGGAGGCUAAAUGAGGCUUGGAUGGUUGCUGGCUCUUUCAUCUAUUAUAGUUGCAACCCAUUGUAGGUUAUUUUAUCAUAUUUAGAACAAAUCUGGCUUCUCCGUUUGCUAGAUGGACCUGAAAAUGCUUGUACUUGAUGAGGCUGCCCACUUAUUAGAUUUAGGAUUUCGGAAAGAUAUAGAGAAGCUUGUUGAUUGUAUACCACGUCAAAGGCAGUCCUUGCUGUUUUCUGUUACUCUUCCAAAAGAGGUUAAUUUGUUGAAUUCCCCUUUCAGGUUUGCCACAUUUCACAGCUUCUUUUGAUAAGGGAACAUUUUUUUAUUGAUACGGUGGGUUUUUGGUGGUGUGGAAACUCAUGACGAGGUAUGAGUCUUCAAUACCGAUACUUGGUCGUGUGGAAACUCAUAACAAGGUGAAGGUUGUUAUUCAUAUUCACUAGAGAUGAUGUGGAUUACAUGUCGCAGUGCACGGUGGAAUCUUCUUUUCUUCCUUGAUCUCAUUGAAUGGCAUGAGGACAUUGUUGGUCAAUCUUGAUUGUGAUAACUUAAAACCAGAGGGGUGGGAUGGAUUGGCAGAUGAGGAGCCUAUACUUUCUUCUUUUUCUGAUAUCAGUAUUAAUGAGUUGCACGUAAGAAACUUCAGGUUAAUCUUUUACCCCUUCUUUUUUAUUAUUUAUUUUGUUUUUCUAUGUCUAAUAUACUAUAGUGUUUAACGUACUAACAAACUGCUGCAAAUUGUUCAAUACUCAAUCUAUUUUACCACAUUUUAGAUGUUGAAAACAUAACCACCAUGGUUACCUUUCCAAUUAAGUUAUGGGCUUGGGAGUGGCAAACAUUGCUUCUACUCACUCUGACUUUUCUCAGUUUAUUCUUAUACAUGAUUACAACUUGAUAUACGUACAAGAUGGAUCUUCCACAUAGCAAAUAAUGUUUGAGUAUCAUUUGAGAAAUCCUUGCUGUUACCCUAUUCCAAACCCUGCUUAGGAUACUUUUGUUGAUUAAAUGUUCUCAAAUCCUAAAACCUGAUUUUAGUGGUGAUCCUUUUGAUUGCAUUCAGUUGAAGAUUACUUUUAGCUUUCUAUUCCUAUUUAUAUACAUUGU